Molecule: ribosomal RNA, 253 nt
Filed under: uncultured bacterium
Lineage: Bacteria
Description: partial 16S ribosomal RNA
Rfam family: Bacterial small subunit ribosomal RNA
Source: RNAcentral
UACGUAGGUGGCGAGCGUUGUCCGGAAUUACUGGGCGUAAAGGGAGCGUAGGCGGUUUAUUAAGUGGGAUGUGAAAUCCCCGGGCUUAACCUGGGAAUUGCAUUCCAAACUGAUUAACUAGAGUGCAGGAGAGGAAAGUGGAAUUCCAAGUGUAGCGGUGAAAUGCGUAGAGAUUUGGAGGAACACCAGUGGCGAAGGCGACUUUCUGGACUGUAACUGACGCUGAGGCUCGAGAGCGUGGGGAGCAAACAGG